GGCUAAAACUUACUACCGAAGCUACGGCAUCAGUAAUGAUGGGUAGGGGAGCUUCCCAUACGGGUUGAAGCAUGACCGUAAGGACAUGUGGACAGUAUGGGAGUGAGAAUGUUGGCAUGAGUAGCGAGAUGUGGGUGAGAAUCCCACAGGCCGUAAACCCAAGGUUUCCAGGGGAAGGUUCGUCCGCCCUGGGUUAGUCGGGACCUAAGCUGAGGCCGAAAGGCGUAGGUGAUGGACAACAGGUUGAUAUUCCUGUACUACCGAUAACCGUUUGAGAGAAGGGAUGACACAGUAGGAUAAGCUAAGCACACUGUUGGUUAUGUGUGCCCAAGCAUUGAGGCAGUCAAAGUAGGCAAAUCCGCUUUGAUAAUGCUGGGAUGUGAUGGGGAGCGAAAUUUAGUAGCGAAGUAGCUGAUUUCACACUGUCAAGAAAAGUCUCUAUCGAGGUUAAAGGUACCCGUACCGCAAACCGACACAGGUGGGUGAGGAGAGUAUCCUAAGGCCAGCGAGAGAACUGUUGUUAAGGAACUCGGCAAAAUGACCCCGUAACUUAGGGAUAAGGGGUGCCACCAUCAGGUGGCCGCAGAGAAUAGGCCCAAGCGACUGUUUACCAAAAACAUAGGUUUCUGCUAAGUCGCAAGACGAUGUAUAGGAGCUGACGCCUGCCCGGUGCUGGAAGGUUAAGGGGAUCUGUUAGAGCAAUCGAAGCAGUGAACUUAAGCCCCAGUAAACGGCGGCCGUAACUAUAACGGUCCUAAGGUAGCGAAAUUCCUUGUCGGGUAAGUUCCGACCCGCACGAAAGGCGUAACGAUUUGGGCACUGUCUCAACAACAGACUCGGUGAAAUUGUAAUUCCGGUGAAGAUGCCGGAUACCUGCGACAGGACGGAAAGACCCCAUGGAGCUUUACUGUAGCUUGACAUUGGGUCUUGGUACUACAUGUACAGGAUAGGUGGGAGGCUUUGAAACCAGGACGCCAGUUUUGGCGGAGUCAUCCUUGGGAUACCACCCUUGUAGUACUGGGACUCUAACCAUAGGCCAUGAAUCUGGUCUUGGGACACUGUCAGGUGGGCAGUUUGACUGGGGCGGUCGCCUCCCAAAAGGUAACGGAGGCGCUCAAAGGUUCUCUCAGUACGGUCGGAAAUCGUACGUAGAGUGUAAAGGCAAAAGAGAGCUUGAUUGCAAGACAUACAGGUCGAGCAAGGAUGAAAAUCGGACUUAGUGAUCCGGUGGUUCUGCGUGGAAGGGCCAUCGCUCAACGGAUAAAAGCUACCCUGGGGAUAACAGGCUUAUCUCCCCCAAGAGUCCACAUCGACGGGGAGGUUUGGCACCUCGAUGUCGGCUCAUCACAUCCUGGGGCUGUAGUAGGUCCCAAGGGUUGGGCUGUUCGCCCAUUAAAGUGGUACGCGAGCUGGGUUCAGAACGUCGUGAGACAGUUCGGUCCCUAUCCGUCGCAGGCGUAGGAAAUUUGAGAAGACCUGUCCUUAGUACGAGAGGACCGGGAUGGACGUACCUCUGGUGUACCAGUUGUUCUGCCAAGGGCAUGGCUGGGUAGCUAUGUACGGAAUGGAUAAGCGCUGAAAGCAUCUAAGCGCGAAGCCAACUUCAAGAUAAGAUUUCCCACCGUAAGGGUAAGACCCCAGAAAGACUAUCUGGUUGAUAGGUCGAAGGUGUAAGUGCAGCAAUGUAUUUAGCUUAUCGAUACUAAUAGGUCGAGGACUUGACCAA
This 1726-nucleotide ribosomal RNA is filed under the name Clostridioides difficile. Its description in RNAcentral is "bacterial LSU rRNA". It matches the Rfam family "Bacterial large subunit ribosomal RNA", at positions 1179 to 2925 of the family's 2925-position model. Lineage: Bacteria; Bacillati; Bacillota; Clostridia; Peptostreptococcales; Peptostreptococcaceae. The record is from RNAcentral.